Molecule: long non-coding RNA, 1423 nt
Filed under: Lathyrus oleraceus (garden pea)
Lineage: Eukaryota; Viridiplantae; Streptophyta; Magnoliopsida; Fabales; Fabaceae
Description: Pisum sativum (pea) long non-coding RNA (PSAT_LNC009664)
Source: RNAcentral
AAGACAUAGCGGGGAAGAUGCUCGGGCAGAUACUAGUUACAAAGAAGACAGGUCCUCAGGGAAAAAUCGUCAGCAAGUUUUACUUGUGUGAAAAGCUGUCACUUGUGAAUAAGAUGUACUUUGCUAUAACUCUGGAUCGUAAGACUGCUGGCCCACUUAUUAUUGCUUGUAGAAAGGGAGGAACGAGCAUUGAAGACCUUGCAGAGAAAUUUCCAGAUAUGAUUGUAAAGGUACCUGUUGAUGUUUUUGAAGGAAUUACUGAUGAAGAUGCUGCAAAGGUUGUUGAUAGUUUGGCUCCCAAAGUGGCCGAUAGAAAUCCAUCAAUUGAAUAAGUGAAGAAUUUAUAUAAACUUUUUGUUGAUUCUGACUGCACCCUUUUAGAAAUCAAUCCCAUGGCAGAGACAGCUGAUAACCAACUAGUAGCUGCUGAUGCUAAAUUGAAUUUUGAUGAUAAUGCUGCAUAUCGUCAGAAAGAAAUAUUCACUCUCCGUGAUACAACACAAGAGGACUCNAUUUCUUCAGAGGUCAAAAAGUUCAGAUGUACUAGCAACAAAGCAGGCAUUGCUGUUCAUUAUAUUGCUUCAGUACAUUCCUAGAUUUCUUCGAAUGGUACCAUUAACUUCAGAACUUAAGAGAACAACUGGUGUCUUUGCUGAAAUUGCAUGGGCAGUGACAAUGGAUGCAUCAAAAAAACUAUAUGUAUUGUGAGAACCAGCACACAGAAGGUUAUAGUGACUGGCAAAAUAAAAGCAAAGCUAUUUUUAAGUCAAGGAGCUCCGUCUCAAGAACCUAUUACUUGCCGCAAAGGAGGAGUACACAUUGUUAAGACUGAACAGGUUGAAGACAUAGCGGGGAAGAUGCUCGGGCAGAUACUAGUUACAAAGAAGACAGGUCCUCAGGGAAAAAUCGUCAGCAAGUUUUACUUGUGUGAAAAGCUGUCACUUGUGAAUAAGAUGUACUUUGCUAUAACUCUGGAUCGUAAGACUGCUGGCCCACUUAUUAUUGCUUGUAGAAAGGGAGGAACGAGCAUUGAAGACCUUGCAGAGAAAUUUCCAGAUAUGAUUGUAAAGGUACCUGUUGAUGUUUUUGAAGGAAUUACUGAUGAAGAUGCUGCAAAGGUUGUUGAUAGUUUGGCUCCCAAAGUGGCCGAUAGAAAUCCAUCAAUUGAAUAAGUGAAGAAUUUAUAUAAACUUUUUGUUGAUUCUGACUGCACCCUUUUAGAAAUCAAUCCCAUGGCAGAGACAGCUGAUAACCAACUAGUAGCUGCUGAUGCUAAAUUGAAUUUUGAUGAUAAUGCAAAAUCAAUCCCAUGGCAGAGACAGCUGAUAACCAACUAGUAGCUGCUGAUGCUAAAUUGAAUUUUGAUGAUAAUGCUGCAUAUCGUCAGAAAGAAAUAUUCACUCUCCGUGAUACAACACAAGAG